This 253-nucleotide ribosomal RNA is filed under the name uncultured bacterium. RNAcentral's name for it is "partial 16S ribosomal RNA". It matches the Rfam family "Bacterial small subunit ribosomal RNA", at positions 524 to 776 of the family's 1533-position model. The record is from RNAcentral.
UACGGAGGGGGCUAGCGUUGUUCGGAAUUACUGGGCGUAAAGCGCACGUAGGCGGCUUUGUAAGUUAGAGGUGAAAGCCCGGGGCUCAACCCCGGAAUUGCCUUUAAGACUGCAUCGCUUGAAUCAUGGAGAGGUGAGUGGAAUUCCGAGUGUAGAGGUGAAAUUCGUAGAUAUUCGGAAGAACACCAGUGGCGAAGGCGACUCACUGGACAUGUAUUGACGCUGAGGUACGAAAGCGGUGGGAGCAAACAGG